Molecule: ribosomal RNA, 934 nt
Filed under: Escherichia coli
Lineage: Bacteria; Pseudomonadati; Pseudomonadota; Gammaproteobacteria; Enterobacterales; Enterobacteriaceae
Description: partial 23S ribosomal RNA
Rfam family: Bacterial large subunit ribosomal RNA
Source: RNAcentral
GGUUAAGCGACUAAGCGUACACGGUGGAUGCCCUGGCAGUCAGAGGCGAUGAAGGACGUGCUAAUCUGCGAUAAGCGUCGGUAAGGUGAUAUGAACCGUUAUAACCGGCGAUUUCCGAAUGGGGAAACCCAGUGUGAUUCGUCACACUAUCAUUAACUGAAUCCAUAGGUUAAUGAGGCGAACCGGGGGAACUGAAACAUCUAAGUACCCCGAGGAAAAGAAAUCAACCGAGAUUCCCCCAGUAGCGGCGAGCGAACGGGGAGGAGCCCAGAGCCUGAAUCAGUGUGUGUGUUAGUGGAAGCGUCUGGAAAGGCGCGCGAUACAGGGUGACAGCCCCGUACACAAAAAUGCACAUACUGUGAGCUCGAUGAGUAGGGCGGGACACGUGGUAUCCUGUCUGAAUAUGGGGGGACCAUCCUCCAAGGCUAAAUACUCCUGACUGACCGAUAGUGAACCAGUACCGUGAGGGAAAGGCGAAAAGAACCCCGGCGAGGGGAGUGAAAAAGAACCUGAAACCGUGUACGUACAAGCAGUGGGAGCACGCUUCGGCGUGUGACUGCGUACCUUUUGUAUAAUGGGUCAGCGACUUAUAUUCUGUAGCAAGGUUAACCGAAUAGGGGAGCCGAAGGGAAACCGAGUCUUAACUGGGCGUUAAGUUGCAGGGUAUAGACCCGAAACCCGGUGAUCUAGCCAUGGGCAGGUUGAAGGUUGGGUAACACUAACUGGAGGACCGAACCGACUAAUGUUGAAAAAUUAGCGGAUGACUUGUGGCUGGGGGUGAAAGGCCAAUCAAACCGGGAGAUAGCUGGUUCUCCCCGAAAGCUAUUUAGGUAGCGCCUCGUGAAUUCAUCUCCGGGGGUAGAGCACUGUUUCGGCAAGGGGGUCAUCCCGACUUACCAACCCGAUGCAAACUGCGAAUACCGGAGAAUGUUAU